Molecule: ribosomal RNA, 463 nt
Filed under: uncultured bacterium
Lineage: Bacteria
Description: SSU rRNA
Rfam family: Bacterial small subunit ribosomal RNA
Source: RNAcentral
AGCCUGAACGCUGGCGGCGUGGUUAAGACAUGCAAGUCGUACGGUGUAGCGAAUACACAGUGGCGAACGGGUGAGUAAUGAAUCGCUAAUGUACCCCGGACUUUGGGAUAGCUGCCCGAAAGGGCAGGUAAUACCAGAUGAUAUAACUUUGUCGCAUGACAGAGUUCUCAAAGGUCCGCCGGUCUGGGAGCAGGCGAUUUCGUAUCAGCUAGUUGGUAAGGUAACGGCUUACCAAGGCGACGACGCGUAGCCGGACUGAGAGGUUGGCCGGCCACAUUGGGACUGAGACACUGCCCAGACUCCUACGGGGGGCUGCAGUAACGAAUCUUCCGCAAUGCACGAAAGUGUGACGGAGCGACGCCGCGUGUGGGACGAAGCCCUUCGGGGUGUAAACCACUGUCAAGGGAAGAAAGUUCUGAUCUACCCUAGAGGAAGAGGCGGCUAACUCUGUGCCAGCAGCCGC